This 2900-nucleotide ribosomal RNA is filed under the name Escherichia coli. RNAcentral's name for it is "bacterial LSU rRNA". It matches the Rfam family "Bacterial large subunit ribosomal RNA". Lineage: Bacteria; Pseudomonadati; Pseudomonadota; Gammaproteobacteria; Enterobacterales; Enterobacteriaceae. The record is from RNAcentral.
UUAAGCGACUAAGCGUACACGGUGGAUGCCCUGGCAGUCAGAGGCGAUGAAGGACGUGCUAAUCUGCGAUAAGCGUCGGUAAGGUGAUAUGAACCGUUAUAACCGGCGAUUUCCGAAUGGGGAAACCCAGUGUGUUUCGACACACUAUCAUUAACUGAAUCCAUAGGUUAAUGAGGCGAACCGGGGGAACUGAAACAUCUAAGUACCCCGAGGAAAAGAAAUCAACCGAGAUUCCCCCAGUAGCGGCGAGCGAACGGGGAGCAGCCCAGAGCCUGAAUCAGUGUGUGUGUUAGUGGAAGCGUCUGGAAAGGCGCGCGAUACAGGGUGACAGCCCCGUACACAAAAAUGCACAUGCUGUGAGCUCGAUGAGUAGGGCGGGACACGUGGUAUCCUGUCUGAAUAUGGGGGACCAUCCUCCAAGGCUAAAUACUCCUGACUGACCGAUAGUGAACCAGUACCGUGAGGGAAAGGCGAAAAGAACCCCGGCGAGGGGAGUGAAAAAGAACCUGAAACCGUGUACGUACAAGCAGUGGGAGCACGCUUAGGCGUGUGACUGCGUACCUUUUGUAUAAUGGGUCAGCGACUUAUAUUCUGUAGCAAGGUUAACCGAAUAGGGGAGCCGAAGGGAAACCGAGUCUUAACUGGGCGUUAAGUUGCAGGGUAUAGACCCGAAACCCGGUGAUCUAGCCAUGGGCAGGUUGAAGGUUGGGUAACACUAACUGGAGGACCGAACCGACUAAUGUUGAAAAAUUAGCGGAUGACUUGUGGCUGGGGGUGAAAGGCCAAUCAAACCGGGAGAUAGCUGGUUCUCCCCGAAAGCUAUUUAGGUAGCGCCUCGUGAAUUCAUCUCCGGGGGUAGAGCACUGUUUCGGCAAGGGGGUCAUCCCGACUUACCAACCCGAUGCAAACUGCGAAUACCGGAGAAUGUUAUCACGGGAGACACACGGCGGGUGCUAACGUCCGUCGUGAAGAGGGAAACAACCCAGACCGCCAGCUAAGGUCCCAAAGUCAUGGUUAAGUGGGAAACGAUGUGGGAAGGCCCAGACAGCCAGGAUGUUGGCUUAGAAGCAGCCAUCAUUUAAAGAAAGCGUAAUAGCUCACUGGUCGAGUCGGCCUGCGCGGAAGAUGUAACGGGGCUAAACCAUGCACCGAAGCUGCGGCAGCGACACUAUGUGUUGUUGGGUAGGGGAGCGUUCUGUAAGCCUGUGAAGGUGUGCUGUGAGGCAUGCUGGAGGUAUCAGAAGUGCGAAUGCUGACAUAAGUAACGAUAAAGCGGGUGAAAAGCCCGCUCGCCGGAAGACCAAGGGUUCCUGUCCAACGUUAAUCGGGGCAGGGUGAGUCGACCCCUAAGGCGAGGCCGAAAGGCGUAGUCGAUGGGAAACAGGUUAAUAUUCCUGUACUUGGUGUUACUGCGAAGGGGGGACGGAGAAGGCUAUGUUGGCCGGGUGACGGUUGUCCCGGUUUAAGCGUGUAGGCUGGUUUUCCAGGCAAAUCCGGAAAAUCAAGGCUGAGGCGUGAUGACGAGGCACUACGGUGCUGAAGCAACAAAUGCCCUGCUUCCAGGAAAAGCCUCUAAGCAUCAGGUAACAUCAAAUCGUACCCCAAACCGACACAGGUGGUCAGGUAGAGAAUACCAAGGCGCUUGAGAGAACUCGGGUGAAGGAACUAGGCAAAAUGGUGCCGUAACUUCGGGAGAAGGCACGCUGAUAUGUAGGUGAGGUCCCUCGCGGAUGGAGCUGAAAUCAGUCGAAGAUACCAGCUGGCUGCAACUGUUUAUUAAAAACACAGCACUGUGCAAACACGAAAGUGGACGUAUACGGUGUGACGCCUGCCCGGUGCCGGAAGGUUAAUUGAUGGGGUUAGCGCAAGCGAAGCUCUUGAUCGAAGCCCCGGUAAACGGCGGCCGUAACUAUAACGGUCCUAAGGUAGCGAAAUUCCUUGUCGGGUAAGUUCCGACCUGCACGAAUGGCGUAAUGAUGGCCAGGCUGUCUCCACCCGAGACUCAGUGAAAUUGAACUCGCUGUGAAGAUGCAGUGUACCCGCGGCAAGACGGAAAGACCCCGUGAACCUUUACUAUAGCUUGACACUGAACAUUGAGCCUUGAUGUGUAGGAUAGGUGGGAGGCUUAGAAGUGUGGACGCCAGUCUGCAUGGAGCCGACCUUGAAAUACCACCCUUUAAUGUUUGAUGUUCUAACGUUGACCCGUAAUCCGGGUUGCGGACAGUGUCUGGUGGGUAGUUUGACUGGGGCGGUCUCCUCCUAAAGAGUAACGGAGGAGCACGAAGGUUGGCUAAUCCUGGUCGGACAUCAGGAGGUUAGUGCAAUGGCAUAAGCCAGCUUGACUGCGAGCGUGACGGCGCGAGCAGGUGCGAAAGCAGGUCAUAGUGAUCCGGUGGUUCUGAAUGGAAGGGCCAUCGCUCAACGGAUAAAAGGUACUCCGGGGAUAACAGGCUGAUACCGCCCAAGAGUUCAUAUCGACGGCGGUGUUUGGCACCUCGAUGUCGGCUCAUCACAUCCUGGGGCUGAAGUAGGUCCCAAGGGUAUGGCUGUUCGCCAUUUAAAGUGGUACGCGAGCUGGGUUUAGAACGUCGUGAGACAGUUCGGUCCCUAUCUGCCGUGGGCGCUGGAGAACUGAGGGGGGCUGCUCCUAGUACGAGAGGACCGGAGUGGACGCAUCACUGGUGUUCGGGUUGUCAUGCCAAUGGCACUGCCCGGUAGCUAAAUGCGGAAGAGAUAAGUGCUGAAAGCAUCUAAGCACGAAACUUGCCCCGAGAUGAGUUCUCCCUGACCCUUUAAGGGUCCUGAAGGAACGUUGAAGACGACGACGUUGAUAGGCCGGGUGUGUAAGCGCAGCGAUGCGUUGAGCUAACCGGUACUAAUGAACCGUGAGGCUUAACCUU